UCAAUCUCUGACACGCUGAGAAGAAAAAAUAAUAAGUCAAAUCCGUCCAGCCAGUCUGAACGAGAGAGGGAAGGAGGUGAUAUCUCCCUCACCUGAAUAGGAGAAAGAGGGAAAGCGAGAGAGAGAGAGAGAAUAGUGAGAGGGGGUGAGAGAAAGUGAAUGAGAACAAGAGAUGGAGAGGUGGGAAAAAGUGAGGGAGAAGACAGGGAGACAGAGAGAGAGUGUGUGAGUGAAAGACAAAGCGAGGGAGAAGACAGGGAGACAGAGAGAGAGUGCGUGAGAAAGACAAAGCGAGGAGGAGAGAGAAUGAUAGAAAAAGAGGGCAAGAGAAAGAGAGCAGUCUGAUGAAUUGAGACAGAGCCGACUGACCGCAGGUCAUUAAGCUGCCAUUGGACUGAGCAGUUAUAUACCCUCAUCACCCACAGCCAAUGAAGUCCAUUCAGCCAGCCUUCAGUCAGGACUCUGGGAGCCCGCCUGGACCAGUGAUCUGGAAUGGCCUCCUCAGCCUCCUAUGGAGACCUGGAGAACAAGAGACAUGGAGGCAGAGAGACCCCAAGUCUCCCGGCUCCUACGUCCUGAACCCCUACUGCUCCUGCUGCCCCCUAGCAUCCUCGUCUUUACUGAGACCUCCCCUGUAGACACUGGACUGCACACAGGUACUACUGCUCCUGCUGCCCCCUAGCAUCCUCGUCUUUACUGAGACCUCCCCUGUAGACACUGGACUGCACACAGGCACCUCCGGCUUCCAACACGACGUACAAGAUGUGAGCUCUCUCCAGGUCUACAGGCACAUUACUGAUCCCAGUAGCUCCUUACAUCUUGAAAUAUUGAAUGUGUUUCCCGAUAUACAUAAUAAUGAAGUGGUAAAGAAAAAAGCUCCCUUCUGUCCCUUUACUCCACUUCUCCCCCUUUCUUUUAACUCCUAUAAGCGCCAUUGCUCCCUUUAUCUAUCGUUCUCAGCCUUCAUGUUUGCUGAUACUGUAGCAUUCAC
This 991-nucleotide long non-coding RNA is filed under the name Salmo salar (Atlantic salmon). RNAcentral describes it as "lncRNA (ENSSSAG00000101245.1)". The record is from RNAcentral. Lineage: Eukaryota; Metazoa; Chordata; Actinopteri; Salmoniformes; Salmonidae.